RNAcentral lists this non-coding RNA (21 nucleotides) under Arabidopsis thaliana (thale cress). The record is from RNAcentral. Lineage: Eukaryota; Viridiplantae; Streptophyta; Magnoliopsida; Brassicales; Brassicaceae.
UGGAAACAUGUAAGGGUGUGG